AGAGUUUGAUCCUGGCUCAGGAUGAACGCUAGCUACAGGCUUAACACAUGCAAGUCGAGGGGCAGCAGGGAGGAAGCUUGCUUCUUGCUGGCGACCGGCGCACGGGUGAGUAACGCGUAUCCAACCUUCCCCUUAGUAGAGGAUAGCCCCGGCGAAAGUCGGAUUAAUACUCUAUGUUCUUCACAUGAGGCAUCGAACGUGAAGCAAAGGCUUGCCGCUAAGGGAUGGGGAUGCGUCUGAUUAGGUUGUUGGCGGGUAACGGCCCACCAAGCCUACGAUCAGUAGGGGUUCUGAGAGGAAGGUCCCCCACAUUGGAACUGAGACACGGUCCAAACUCCUACGGGAGGCAGCAGUGAGGAAUAUUGGUCAAUGGCCGAGAGGCUGAACCAGCCCAAGUAGCGUGCAGGAUGACGGCCCUAUGGGUUGUAAACUGCUUUUAUACGGGGAUAAAGUGGGGGACGUGUCCCUUUUUGUAGGUACCGUAUGAAUAAGGACCGGCUAAUUCCGUGCCAGCCGCGGC
Molecule: ribosomal RNA, 520 nt
Filed under: uncultured bacterium
Lineage: Bacteria
Description: bacterial SSU rRNA
Rfam family: Bacterial small subunit ribosomal RNA
Source: RNAcentral